UCCAGACUCCUACGGGAGGCAGCAGUGGGGAAUAUUGCGCAAUGGGCGAAAGCCUGAUGCAGCGACGCCGCGUGAGUGAAGAAGUAUUUCGGUAUGUAAAGCUCUGUCAGCAGGGAAGAAGAAAGACGGUACCUGACCAAGAAGCCCCGGCUAACUACGUGCCAGCAGCCGCGGUAAUACGUAGGGGGCAAGCGUUAUCCGGAUUUACUGGGUGUAAAGGGAGCGUAGACGGCAGGGCAAGUCUGGAGUGAAAGGCAGGGGCCCAACCCCUGGACUGCUCUGGAAACUGUCCGGCUGGAGUGCAGGAGAGGUAAGUGGAAUUCCUAGUGUAGCGGUGAAAUGCGUAGAUAUUAGGAGGAACACCAGUGGCGAAGGCGGCUUACUGGACUGUAACUGACGUUGAGGCUCGAAAGCGUGGGGAGCAAACAGGAUUAGAUACCCGAGUA
Molecule: ribosomal RNA, 446 nt
Filed under: uncultured bacterium
Lineage: Bacteria
Description: bacterial SSU rRNA
Rfam family: Bacterial small subunit ribosomal RNA
Source: RNAcentral